CCUACGGGAGGCAGCAGUAGGGAAUCUUUCACAAUGGGCGAAAGCCUGAUGGAGCAACGCCGCGUGCAGGAUGAAGGCCUUCGGGUUGUAAACUGCUUUUAUAAGCGAGAAAUAUGAUGGUAACUUAUGAAUAAGGAUCGGCUAACUACGUGCCAGCAGCCGCGGUCAUACGUAGGAUCCGAGCAUUAUCCGGAGUGAAUGGGUUUAAAGAGUUGCGUAGGUGGCAUAAUAAGUAGCUAGUGAAAUCUGGUGGCUCAACCAUUCAGACUAUUAGCUAAACUGUUAAGCUCGAGACCGUUAGGGGUAACUGGAAUUUCUAGUGUAGGAGUGAAAUCCGUAGAUAUUAGAAGGAACACCAAUAGCGUAGGCAGGUUGCUGGGACGGUUCUGACACUAAGGCACGAAAGCGUAGGGAGCAAACGGGAUUAGAUACCCCGGUAGUC
RNAcentral lists this ribosomal RNA (442 nucleotides) under uncultured bacterium. RNAcentral describes it as "partial 16S ribosomal RNA". It matches the Rfam family "Bacterial small subunit ribosomal RNA", at positions 338 to 795 of the family's 1533-position model. The record is from RNAcentral.